GGCAUAUACAAAGAGAAGCGACCUCGCGAGAGCAAGCGGACCUCAUAAAGUAUGUCGUAGUCCGCAUAGGAGUCUGCAACUCGACUCCAUGAAGUCGGAAUCGCUAGUAAUCGUAGAUCAGAAUGCUACGGUGAAUACGUUCACGGGCCUUGUACACACCGCCCGUCACACCAUGGGAGUGGGUUGCAAAAUUAGUAGGUAGCUUAACCUUCGGGAGGGCGCUUACCACUUUGU
Molecule: ribosomal RNA, 234 nt
Filed under: Klebsiella variicola
Lineage: Bacteria; Pseudomonadati; Pseudomonadota; Gammaproteobacteria; Enterobacterales; Enterobacteriaceae
Description: partial 16S ribosomal RNA
Rfam family: Bacterial small subunit ribosomal RNA
Source: RNAcentral